CUGGGAACCUCUCUAUCUCAUUGAAUAACCUAUCUGUUACUCAGGUUUUAAGCCAUAAAUCUAGGAGUCUAUAAAAUUACCACUCUUCGUUACAUGCUCAGCCUCACAACUAAUCGCCGUAGGUAGGCUGGGUUCCCUGGAAAGCAAACUUUGAAGCAGAAAUUAGUGUUCAGAAGUUUAGUGGAAGUUCUCAAGGGAUCUGUAGCUAUGGGAGGGAAAAUAAGGAAACAGAAUUAUGUGGGGGGGAAGGUUGGGUUGAGAUGCAGUCUCCAUGCCAAUCCUAUGGUUAUUCCUGGAUGAAUAUUUAUAUCCCUACACUGAUUAUUCACUGGAUGUGACCACUCUAGGAAGGUGUACAACCUUGGGCAAGGGAGAUCUUCCCAGCUGAAUCUGGGGCUUUUUAGUGGUAGCAUUCUCUCAAAACAUGGAUUUGAAUGGCACACUAUCCACGCUGAAAUAUAUCACCUCAUCCUAUCAUUUUGUUUUUUGAAUAGCUCUCAAGUCAUUCCAGUUCUUCAUGUCACCACUUUCACCACUCUAGUCUGCUACUAACAUUUCUCUCCUAUACACCAACUUCUUAAAAGGUUUUCCUAUAUCCAGUAUAUUUGUCUUUUACUUCAUUUUCCACCUAGCUGUGCAACCUUUAUAAAUCAGUUAUUGGAUCACCUUUCUCCUAUAGCUUAAAAACUUUCAAUGAUCUCCUAUUACCAUUAUGAUAAAACAUUAAUUUCUUACUAAGAUCAGUAAGGCUAUAAAGAUCUUUCCUCUUCAUGUCUCUUCUUUAACAUGCUGAAGCCACCUAUGCCCCCCUUGCCCUAUCUUCUGGCAAUUCCUGACUACACCAAGCCUCUCAAAUGUACCACUCUCUCACCUCUCAGGUUUUCCAUACAUUGCUUCUGACCCUGGGAAUAUACAUCACCUACCUCUAUCUCUUAUGACUGAUUAGCUUACUCUUCUUUAGAGACAUAUUUCUUGAAUCCUUAGAAUAGAUCAGAACCUUCUCCUUCUGCUCCCUUAGCACCUUUCAUUUCUCCUACCAGAAAAUUUACCUAUCAUAAAAAUAUUUUAUAAUUUUAUAUCAUUAUUAUCUCAAUUUAUACCAACUGCAUGCUAAUAGUCUCAUGAGAACAUAGCUUGUGUUGGCCAUAAGAAGCAACAUGGCCAAAUAUGGAGACUUUAUUCACAACCUUACUCUUUUUUUUAAUUUAUUUUUUUAAAUUGAAGUAUAGUUAAUUUACAAUGUCAUGUUAGCUUCAGGUGUACAACACAGUGAUUCACAUAUACACACAUAUAUUCUUUUUUCAGAUUAUUUUUCCUUAUAUAUGCAGACUUCCUCUUAUACAGCACCUGACUCAUGCAUAUUCCACAAAUAAGUAAAAAGGAAAAAAUUAAAACCAAAGACACCAAAAACAUAAUAUAACAAAAUAUUUUGAUAUAGGUAGGUAGUUGUUGAAUAUCUGGGAGGGGGGAACAAAAAGAAUGAAAUUGCAUAUAACUAAACAAAAAUUUCUUGAGAGUGUCCUCUCCCUGUGGCAUGGCCUUUGUUAAAUUAUCAUUCUUUUCUUUUCUGCCUUCCUCCUUUUCUUUCUUUUUUUUUCCUUUUUCUUUUUAGGGCUACACCUGAAGCAAAUAGAAGGUCCCAGACUAGGGGUCAAAUGAGAGCUGCAGCCUCUGGCCUAUACCACAGCCACGGUCACACCAGAUCCAAACCUUAUCUGCGACCUUCCCACUGAGCAAGGCCAGGGAUCAAACCCUCAUCCUCAUAGAUACUAGCCUGGUUCUUAACCCACUGAGCCACAACAGAAACUCUCUUCUUUCUUCCUUUCUUCAUCUCUUUCUUUCUUUCUUUUUAUUUCUUUCUCUUUCUUUCUCCUUCCUUCCUUUCUUUUUUCUCUUCCUCUCCCUCUCUCUCCCCUCCACAUGAUUUGAUUCCAUUUUUAUGUAAGAGAAUUUAGUCCUAUUCAUUACCUUCCUUAAGCAAGAAAAUAUAUUUGCUUUCCAAUCCAUCCUCCUUAAAUAGAUACAGUAGAGCUUCUAAAUACCAUAGAUGGAUUUGCAAGGUUUUAUAAUAAUAUUCAAUUCCUACAACUAUUCAUUGACAUUAGUGCAGGUGAAAAUGUCUGUGGAUUUAUGUAAAUCCCCAGAGCACCACUUCUUCCUCAACUACUGUAGAAAAUAUAUUGAAAUGCUUAUGAGUAUGCAUGAUAUCACUUACUUAUUUUAAAAAAUGUAAGUGCCCUCUGUGUGCCAGGUACUAUUCUAGUUUGGUGGAAUACAGAAGCAAGCAAGAGAUACAUGAUCUCAGGUUUCCUGGAGAUUUCUUUCCAGUGAGGAGAGAGGAAAUACAUAAACUGAAAAAUAAAAAGGCAGUGUUAAUAUAGAAAAAUCCCAAGAAGAAAAUAAAAGUGGACAAUAAGAACUGUAUCCAAGUAACUAUUAGAUUGAUUGGCCAUGGGAAAUGUCAUUGAGGAUCCAUUUGAGUCAGAAAGCUAACAUUUAGAAGAAUUCAGCUUGCAAAGAUCUGAAGGAAAGCCUUCCAGAUAACUGGAAUAUUAAUGCAAAAGCCCUCAGGUAGGGUGUAGUUGGAGUAGGUGGCUGAGGUUAAAACACAGUAUCUAGGGGAGAAGCAUGAGGCAAGCAGAUAUCACAUAAUGUACCCAUGGUUAGGAGUUCAAAUUCAAUUCUAUGGAGAUGUAAAGUAAGUAAAUGAUUUUGAUUAAGGAAUUAAAAUGAAAGAAGGAAGUGUGCUCAGACUGGAUACUGAGAGCAGGGCUUUUUAGAGGCAGACUGCGUGAUUUUGAAUCUCACCACUGAAAAUUGCUAGCUGUGUUGUCUAAGACAAUUCUCUUAAAUUUUCCAAGCUCAGUUUCCCGUAAAAUUGAGAUACAUAUAAAAGUGUCCAUUAUACUUUAUAUGAUUGCAGUAGGGUGGCAGUGGGAUAAGAGUGCUGAACCCCAACAAUGUAGGUCUCCAAUCCUUGUCCCUUUGGAGAAAAAUCUGCAAAGAGACUGAGAAUAGUGAGGCAAAUAAAAGUGUUUAUUAAGAGAGAAGGGAGAGAAGAUAGGUGAGGAGAAAGCACAGGCACGCUCCGGUGGACAGAGAGAGAAAGAUAGACAGACAGACAGAUAAAGAGCAAGGGAGAAAGAGCAGCUUGACACAGGUUUUAGAGGUAGUUUAAACCACCUGUAUGGGGGACAGUCCUUCCCUGCUUCCUCUAGCAAAUCAUCUUGCUCAGUCUGGCCUUGAGUCCACAUUUGGCCUGACUCUGGGCUCUCUCCUGUGUAUGCAUGCAUCUUUUGGCCAAGAUGGAUUUCAGCAGGACUCACCUCCUCCUGGCUCCUGCCAUAAUCUUUAUCUUGAAGUAUUUGUCCACUGGGGACAGAUUCCAGUUGCUUAGGUUGGGACCCAUCUAUCUCCUGCCUCAGCUAUCUGCUUUCUGUUUUAAAAGAUCAAACUGAAGUAGCAUGAAGAAAUAAUUGCGUGAAGCAAAUAGAAAUGGUGAACUCAUUUAGAGGUUUGUUACUUUUUAUUGCUGGCAUAACAAAUUACCACAUUUAGUGAUUUAAAAUUCUAAUUUAUCAUUUUCUAUUUCUGUGGGUCAGAAGUCAGACAUAGGUCAGACUCCUAAAAUCAAGGAGUUUGGCAGGACGGCAUUCUUUUCUAGAGGCUCUGGGGGAAAUCUAUUUCUUUGCCUUUUUCAGUCUCUAAAAGCCAUUUGCAUUCCCUUGGCUCAUGUCCUCCUUCAGAGGCAGUAACAGCAAGUCUGUUCACCUAAUAUUGCAUCUUUCUGACAAUUGGAAAUGAUUCUCCACUUUUAAGCACUCACAUAAUUAAAUUGAACCCUCUCAAAUAAUCCAGAUUAAUUUCCUCUCAAGGGUUAUACCCUUAAUUAUAAUUGCAAGUCCCUUUUGUCAUGAAUUUACAGGUUUUCCGCAUCUUUAGGAUUAGAAAAUGACUAUCUUUGAGUGGUCAUUAUUCUGCCUACUAUUGCUUAACACUGGUGAUUUUUAGAACAACAUCUUAGUAAUACUUAAUUUAGUAAUAUUUUCAUAAUUUAGUAACAUGUGGUAAUUUAGUAAUUUUGAAUUUAAACAGAUAUUUAAAGUAAAAUUAAAGAAGUCUUUUGCAAAUUUCAUAUAUAAAAAGAUAUAUUGUGGGCUUAAAAUUGUAGAAAGUCCUUAUUACCCAAAGAUACUUAAAAUAAAUCUUCUUAAAAGGGGGAAUAUAUACUAAUAAAUAAAAGACAAUUUUAACUAAAAGUCAUUUGUUUCACUUCAAACUUAACAAUUUAAGCUAUAAUCACAAUUACAUGGUAACUUUUAGAAUAAAAAGCUUGAGCAAGAGGGAAUCUUUUUUAAAGUACUUUUUCAGCAAAAUUGUAUGAUAGCAUAAUAGGACAUUAAUUAUAUUGAUCUUUAAAGCAAAAUAAUAAAUAAAGGCAUUUUUGUAAAUAGGAGCACAUUACCGAUUAAGGAUCCUGACUUAAUUUAAAUCAACCCUUCUACUAAAGAAACUGGAAUAUUUGAUAGAUAAAUAGACAGAAGGGAUGUAUAGAUAGAUAGGUGAUAGAGAGAUAGAUAAAGAGAAAGACAGACAGAUGAACUGCAGUGUCCUUGAAGAGCUAGUAAGACAGUAAAGAAUUGCCUAUUCAGUGUAACUAUGUAAGAAGGAAGGAAGUGAAGCUCUGAAAUGUGAGCCUAGCAUUUUUGACUCUUUGUCCCUGAAAGUAUAUUAUUUUAAAGGCUACAAAGAAGAAGACAAUUUGAGUCACAUUUUGACAACCUUACAGAGCUGGGUAGAUAAAAAUUGGAGCUGAAGACCUUCUGCAUACUUUUGGUUGAAAUUUGAAAAAGCUAUAUCCUGGAAGAAAAUGUGCAUUCAGUAUAAACUGGCAUUUUCAGGGACUAGAGUUCAACUUCAAAUCAACCUAAAAGUUUUCAAAUACUAUCAAAAAUAAUCAGGAAUAUGGAAUUCUAUGGUAGCCUAGCAAUUAAGGAUCCAGCUUUGUCACUGCUGUGGCUCAAGUCACUGCAGUGGUGCAGGUUCAAUCCCUGGCCCAGGAACUUCU
Molecule: long non-coding RNA, 5068 nt
Filed under: Sus scrofa (pig)
Lineage: Eukaryota; Metazoa; Chordata; Mammalia; Artiodactyla; Suidae
Description: lncRNA (ENSSSCG00000054290.1)
Source: RNAcentral